RNAcentral lists this ribosomal RNA (379 nucleotides) under Gyna capucina. Its description in RNAcentral is "partial 16S ribosomal RNA". The stretch from base 1 to 188 matches the Rfam family "Archaeal large subunit ribosomal RNA", at positions 1919 to 2143 of the family's 2987-position model. The record is from RNAcentral. Lineage: Eukaryota; Metazoa; Arthropoda; Insecta; Blattodea; Blaberidae.
CUUUUCUUGAUUUUUAUUUGAAAUAUGACCUGCCCACUGAUUAAAUUGAAGGGCCGCGGUAUUUUGACCGUGCAAAGGUAGCAUAAUCAUUAGUCUCUUAAUUAGAGGCUGGAAUGAAUGGUUUGACGAGAUAAUGGCUGUCUUAUAAUUAUUUUGGUUGAAUUUAAUUAUUAAGUUAAAAAGCUUAAAUUUGAUUUUGGGACGAGAAGACCCUAUAGAGUUUAUAUAAAUAUUUAUAUAGGAGGGUUGGAUUUAUAAUUGAUAUAUAAGUAGUUAUUUGGUUGGGGUGAUUAAAAGAUAAAAUGUAACUCUUUAUUUUGUAUUUAUAUCGAUUAGUAUAUUUUUGAUCCAUUUAUAAUGAUUAUAAGAUUAAAUUACC